GGAAUAUUGCGCAAUGGGCGAAAGCCUGACGCAGCGACGCCGCGUGGGGGAUGAAGGUCUUCGGAUUGUAAACCCCUUUCGGGAGGGAAGAUGGAGCGAGCAAUCGUUCGGACGGUACCUCCAGAAGCAGCCACGGCCACCUUCGUGCCAGCAGCCGCGGUACUACGAAGGUGGCAAGCGUUGUUCGGAUUCACUGGGCGGACAGGGUGUGUAGGCGGUUUGGUAAGCCUUCUGUUAAAGCUUCGGGCCCAACCCGGAAAGCGCAGAGGGUACUGCCAGGCUAGAGGGCGGGAGAGGAGCGCGGAAUUCCCGGUGUAGCGGUGAAAUGCGUAGAGAUCGGGAGGAAGGCCGGUGGCGAAGGCGGCGCUCUGGAACGUACCUGACGCUGAGACGCGAAAGCUAGGGGAGCAA
RNAcentral lists this ribosomal RNA (411 nucleotides) under uncultured bacterium. Its description in RNAcentral is "bacterial SSU rRNA". It matches the Rfam family "Bacterial small subunit ribosomal RNA", at positions 358 to 771 of the family's 1533-position model. The record is from RNAcentral.